GGGUCAGUAGGUUGGUCGUGCCACCGGUACGUACUGGUCUCACUGAUUCCUCCUUCCUGAAGAACCGUAAUGCCAUUAAUUUGGUGUUGCGGGGAAACAGGACUGUUACUUUGAAAAAAUUAGAGUGUUUAAAGCAAGCUAACGCUUGAAUACAUUAGCAUGGAAUAAUGAAAUAGGACGAUCGAUCCUAUUUUGUUGGUUUCUAGGAUUGACGUAAUGAUUAAUAAGGAUAUUUGGG
This 238-nucleotide ribosomal RNA is filed under the name Glomeromycotina sp. RNAcentral describes it as "partial small subunit ribosomal RNA". The stretch from base 40 to 238 matches the Rfam family "Eukaryotic small subunit ribosomal RNA", at positions 686 to 886 of the family's 1831-position model. The record is from RNAcentral. Lineage: Eukaryota; Fungi; Glomeromycota.